RNAcentral lists this long non-coding RNA (2470 nucleotides) under Marmota monax (woodchuck). Lineage: Eukaryota; Metazoa; Chordata; Mammalia; Rodentia; Sciuridae. The record is from RNAcentral.
CUUUUUCAUUUUAUUCUAGAUAUCCCUUGGGCCCUGGAUUUCAUUUCUGAAUGGUUUGAGUAUUUUUCUCUCUUUUUUUGUAACAAAAUGUUAAUUAUUAUAUUUAUUAAAACAUAAUUUAAUGAGGCAAUUAUCCAGCUGUGAAUGCAUGACAGCUAAAUACACAAUUACUGGCCUGAGCACAAGGUUGCUUUGAGAGAUUACCAUUCUUUCUUUUUAUCCUUUUGAAGUUAUUGCAAUGGUAAGCAUGAAAGAUGAGAACUAAGGCUUUCAGAAUCACUGAUGAAAAUUCAAUGUUUAGAGAAUACUUUGAAGUUUUUUCUGGUACUAAGGGUAGUUACUAAUCAAAAGGACUGAAUGUCUAAAAUAUUUUUUUUCAAAAGUAGUCCCUUUUGACUUUGUUUGCUAAUGUUCUUAUUGUAGUGAGCUAUUUUUACUCUAUAUUGGAAAAGUUACAGGUUGGAAUAAAUAAUAUGCUUACAGAUGAGGAGGAAAAAGAUGGUAUCAAUCAAUUCUAGGGGCAAGAGACACAGUUAUAUUGCAGAAGGAAGCUCGUAUUUACAAACCAAAGCCUAUGUAAAUAUCUACUCAUGCCAGAGUUUUAAAUAAUCCUAAAAAUAGAUUUCUAAAUUAGCAGAGGCAGUAUUUUCUAACAGGAAUUUUAUCUACUUGCAAGGAAAUUUCAGCCAAUUGUGGGGUCUGAAUCUUUGAAAAUGAAAAAUGAACAACUCUAGCCUUUUAUAAAAAGCAAACAAAUAAAAGCCAAACCUAUGAGGCAAAUGUAGAAAUUAGAGAGCAAAGUAUAUUCCAUUUAUCAAUACCUUCCACUUCUUAAUUCUGUGGAAUUUUCCCAGUUAUUUACCUGCACCGUCCACAAUUUCCAAAGCCCACCCAAGAGGAAAAUUCUUUUUUAUGAAUGACAACAAUUCUUCUCCCCUUUUUGAAAUGAGGGAACAGAUUUUUUUUUUUAAGCAAGGCUCUACAUUAGAAUUACACAACUACCCAAAUUUCCAUGCGCGUGUGAAAAUGUUUGGAGAACUGUUGUUCCCCAGUUAGAACAGGGAACAAAUUCCAAGCAUCUCUUACUAAGAGGAUUGUUUGAAAUUAGGAAGCAGUCAUCUCCUAGAAAUAUAUGUGGCAGGUUUAUUUUUUUUUUCCUAAAUGGUCCAUAACUAUCCAUUUUGUUCCAUGUUCUGAGUUAAGGUCCUUAUGUUGUAUAAAAUGGAAAGGAACCGAGAGCCUCUUCCUUGUUUUCUGGUUUAAUUUCCUAUAGCAUUCUUUUUUGGGAGGUCGGUGGGGGGUGUACCACAGAUUGAACUCAGGGCCACUGGACCACUGAGCCACAUCCCCAGCCCUCUUUAUAUUUUAUUUAGAAACAGGAUUUUGCUGAGUUGCUUAGAGUCUUGUGAUGCUCUCAGUCUGGCUUUGAAUUCAGGAUCCUCCCACCUUAGCCUUGCAAGUCAGUGGAAUCACAGGAAUGCACCACGGACCUGGCUCCCAGAGCAUCCUUUGUUCUCUCUUUACAUCUUCACUCCUUUCAUGAACACCCGCUCUUGGCAUGCAGAAACCAUAAAUUACCUCUCCAUCAACCACAAAAGAUCUUUACCUGGAGCAUAAUAGUAUGGAUACUAAUCAAAAAAGUAACCAGGUUUCAGAAACACACAGCGUUUCUCCCAGUCAUAUCAUCCCUGAUUUCAGUGUGACUGGAAUCAGUGUCAUCUGCAUGUGGGAGCAACACAGAUAUGGAAGGGAACCCAAGUUCCAUUUGCAAUGGCGAUCACCUUCAGUCCGGCGCUGCUAUUUACUGGCUGGGCAGCCUUCAACCUGUAGUCCUCUGGAAUCUUCUCUGGUUCUCAUGUUACCUUGCAGAGUUGUGGAAAGGGCAGCUCAGUCUAUUUCAAAGAAAGUGUGUCAUUUAUGAUCCUUUGUAACAAGCUAAGGGAAAUAGCAUUUUAAAUCUGAUGCAUAUUUACUAAUAAAAUGGAGAACAAUCGUUGCUAUGGUUUGAAUGUUGGCUCCCUCCAAACCCAUGUUAAAUUUAAUUGCUGUUGUAACCAUAACAAGAGGUCGUGAGGGUUCUAGUUUCAUGAGUGGAUUUAAUGCUUAAUAAAAAGACUUUCAAGUGCAGGAUAAUUUCCUCCAGCCCCUUCCUGUCUUUCUGCAAUGUGAGAAGCAGCAAUCCUCCCCUCCAGGGAGCACCAUCUUGGAAGCUGAGACCAGACCCUUUCCAGGCACCUCCUUGGGACUUGAUGGUGAACUUUCCAGGCUCAGAAAUUGAGAGAAAUAAACUCCUGGUCUUUAUAAAUGACGCAGCCUCAAGUAUUCUGCUAUAGCAGCAAAAAUGGACUGAGAGCAUUUCUAACCUUUCCAAGGACUUAGUACCAUGCUCUGAGUUUCUGGUGGGAUGUAAAAUUGAAAUGCAAUGAAGGAAACUGGACAAUGUCAAACUUGUGUCCACCUCUGUGCCCUG